CACCCUACAAGUUACGCCUACCAUCGUUAUCCGUUCUGUGCGAUGCAUUGUCGAACGAGUCCUGGGGGUUCCAAACCACUUAUUCGGGAUAAUGAUAAUGCGUAUGAACGAUGUCCCGCUACCACUACAGCGCUACUCAACCGCCCAGCGUGUCUUGGGUCGCUCUCAAAGGGGGAAGAAGGCUAGCUAGGGCUACUGCUACUAGGGCUUCUUACGCAGUAGAUGUGCGUGUGGAAUUCGCCGAUAUCGAACCUCUGUGGGUUCAUGGUUCAUACAGCUGGGGAUGGGAUUGGUGGUCUGGGCCGUUUUGUUUUACAAGGCUGUAUGUUUCUCUCGUACUUGAUGCGCUUAUGAUUCAAGGCGAUUUAUAUAUAUAUAUAUAUACUGCACAUAUACUAUGGAUCUCGAGAUCCAAGGUUGGCACAAGUUCCUUGGAAGUUCCCAGUAAGUUUCCAGUUGACGCGGAGAGGUUG
This 473-nucleotide small RNA is filed under the name Histoplasma ohiense. Its description in RNAcentral is "hypothetical lncRNA". The record is from RNAcentral. Lineage: Eukaryota; Fungi; Ascomycota; Eurotiomycetes; Onygenales; Ajellomycetaceae.